Molecule: ribosomal RNA, 253 nt
Filed under: uncultured bacterium
Lineage: Bacteria
Description: partial 16S ribosomal RNA
Rfam family: Bacterial small subunit ribosomal RNA
Source: RNAcentral
UACGUAGGGUGCGAGCGUUAAUCGGAAUUACUGGGCGUAAAGCGUGCGCAGGCGGUUUUGUAAGUCUGACGUGAAAGCCCCGGGCUUAACCUGGGAAUUGCGUUGGAGACUGCAAGGCUUGAAUCUGGCAGAGGGGGGUAGAAUUCCACGUGUAGCAGUGAAAUGCGUAGAGAUGUGGAGGAACACCGAUGGCGAAGGCAGCCCCCUGGGUCAAGAUUGACGCUCAUGCACGAAAGCGUGGGGAGCAAACAGG